GAUGAACGCUGGCGGCGUGCCUAACACAUGCAAGUCGAACGAAGCACCUUACCUGAUUCUUCGGAUGAAAGUUUGGUGACUGAGUGGCGGACGGGUGAGUAACGCGUGGGUAACCUGCCCUGUACAGGGGGAUAACAGCUGGAAACGGCUGCUAAUACCGCAUAAGCGCACGAGGAGACAUCUCCUUGUGUGAAAAACUCCGGUGGUACAGGAUGGGCCCGCGUCUGAUUAGCUGGUUGGCAGGGUAACGGCCUACCAAGGCAACGAUCAGUAGCCGGUCUGAGAGGAUGAACGGCCACAUUGGAACUGAGACACGGUCCAAACACCUACGGGAGGCAGCAGUGGGGAAUAUUGCACAAUGGGGGAAACCCUGAUGCAGCAACGCCGCGUGAGUGAAGAAGUAUUUCGGUAUGUAAAGCUCUAUCAGCAGGGAAGAUAAUGACGGUACCUGACUAAGAAGCUCCGGCUAAAUACGUG
This 477-nucleotide ribosomal RNA is filed under the name uncultured bacterium. RNAcentral's name for it is "partial 16S ribosomal RNA". It matches the Rfam family "Bacterial small subunit ribosomal RNA", at positions 28 to 507 of the family's 1533-position model. The record is from RNAcentral.